Molecule: small RNA, 542 nt
Filed under: Atta cephalotes
Lineage: Eukaryota; Metazoa; Arthropoda; Insecta; Hymenoptera; Formicidae
Description: sRNA LOC105626074
Source: RNAcentral
CUGGCCGUUAUCUGUAGUUACCAUGCCUAAUAUCUGUACAUAUGUGUAAUUGUGUAUGUGCACGAGUGCGCAAUAGUGGGUAACGUAGGAACAAAUCAACAAAUUUAGUUUUGGUGGUUUGGUCGAGCAUUUAUUCUCAAAUAUGAUAAAUUCAGCAAAUUCGAUCGCUCACCAGGUGAGAAGAUUUACAACGAGCGCGAUUCGUAGGAGCAUGCAUCACAAUCCUUAUGAUGGCGUUCCUGGAUAUAACAUGCCCUUCAGCUUGCAAAAUAGGCACUUUCUGCUACUUGGAUUUAUGGUUUUUCUUGGCAUCCCAUUUUCCCUUCCCUUGUUCAUGGUCCGUUAUCAGUUGAAAAAAUAAAUUUUCAGUACGUUGUGUCGCCUUGCGAAUCAGAUUACAUGACUGCAUCAGACUAGUAUGAUAUCCUACAUCAAUGCUGUGAGCAGUUUAUUUACUAGCUAGAAUAAUGUAAUAGAAAAUGUAUGUGUUUAUAAUAAAGAUGAUUUAUUGAUAUCUGAUAUCUAUCAGAUAUAGAAGCUUA